RNAcentral lists this ribosomal RNA (341 nucleotides) under uncultured bacterium. Its description in RNAcentral is "bacterial SSU rRNA". It matches the Rfam family "Bacterial small subunit ribosomal RNA", at positions 28 to 372 of the family's 1533-position model. The record is from RNAcentral.
GAUGAACGCUAGCGGCAGGCUUAACACAUGCAAGUCGAGGGGUAGGUUACUUCGGUAGCUGAGACCGGCGCACGGGUGCGUACGCGUAUACAAUCUACCUUUUACAGAGGGAUAGCCCAGAGAAAUUUGGAUUAAUACCUCAUAGUAUUUUCGGAUCGCAUGAUUUGAUUAUUAAAGUUCCAACGGUAAAAGAUGAGUAUGCGUCCCAUUAGCUAGAUGGUAAGGUAACGGCUUACCAUGGCAACGAUGGGUAGGGGUCCUGAGAGGGAGAUCCCCCCACACUGGUACUGAGACACGGACCAGACUCCUACGGGAGGCAGCAGUGAGGAAUAUUGGACAAU